UGUGGAGUGAGGCGGUACUGGUCAAGUCCAUCGUUCCAUUUAAUUCGCUCCAGCACCUCCAGGUCACCGCCUACCAGCCAAUCACCUCCUUCCAUAACCAUCUACACAAGAUGAGAAGCAGAUAUCAUGAACAGCAAUUAGGGGUGUUCAACAGUCUGACUGCCUGUGGGAAGAAGCUGCUGCAGAGUCUUGAUGUGUGGGUUCUGAUGCUGCGCAGUCUCUUUCCUGAUGAAGGGGCAACGAACAGUCCAUGUGAGGGGUGGUAGGGGUCCUUCAUGAUGGAGGUGGCCCUGCGUAUGCAGCGUUCCUUGUAGAUGUUCUGCAGAGCUGGGAGGGAGGCACCGACGAUCCUCUCCGCUGUCUUGACCACACGUUGCAGAGAUAGCUGCUGAGGGGGUCAUGGGAGUUCAGCCUGCCAGUCUACAUGUGCUUUGUGGAUCUGGAGAAGACCUACGACCGUGUCCCCCGAGGGGCUCUGUUGGGGGUACUGCGGGAGUAUGGGGCACCAGGCCUGCUGAUAGGAGCCAUUCAGUCCCUGUACAACCAAAGUAAGAGCUGUGAACACAUACUCAACACAAAGUCAUACUCGUUUCCUGUGGGUGUUGGACUCCGCCAGGGCUGUCCCUUGUCUCCGAUCCUGUUUGUGGUGUUAAUGGACAGGACCUCAAGGUGCAGCUGGGAUGAGGAGGGUGUCCGGUUUGGGGAUCUCAGGAUCGCAUCUUUGCUUUUGCAGAUAAUGUGGUUCUGUUGGGUUCCUCACAUCAUGACCUUCAGCGCGCACUGGAGCUGUUUGCAGCCGAGUGUGAAGCGGUGGGGAUGUGGAUCAGCACCUCCAAACACAUUUGCCUGGGAGUGAUUAUAUAUCUUGUCUGGCCUGGGAACGCCUCAGUAUUCCCUAGAAAGGGCUGGAAAGCGUUGCUGGGGGGGAUGGACGUCUGAAAUGACCUGCUUCGUCUGCUGCCUCCGCGACUCGAUCCCAGACAAACGGAAGAAAAUGGAUGGAUGAUACUGAAACAAUAAGCGUAUUUCUUUCAAAUAUUUACCUCCAACUAAGUGUUGUAAAUAUCAAUGCUGAAACUAUUUAAUAAAAUGAUUAAUUACCAGAAAGUUCAUUACCAGCAAUCUUGAUAAUCAGUGCUUCAUUUAGGACAUCUUUUGGGCACACAAUCUCUUGCUCCUGCUUCUCAGUUGUGAAAUUUGGAUUUUUUUAAAAAAUGAACUGCAACUGUAUCAAACUUUAAGAAACUGAAACCGUAUCAAAAUCUUUCCACUUUGUACGGUUAGUUAGGUAUCUAACUAACUGACUAACUGGGACUGUGAAAACAAGUUUAGGAACUUUUAAUUAUAAUGAACUAUAAUCUUUUUCUACACCCUACUUAAUUUUACACUAUAGAUAGACUGUAAUUAGAAAAGUAGCUGCACUAGUACACAGCUUGUACCAGGUAAUGUCUGACCUGUUUGAUAGUAGAACUGGUUUUCGGUGUACUUACAGUAUGCAGAAGGAUCCAUUUUUCGCCUCCCUACUUGUAAUUACAAAUACUGAUGCCUCACACCUAAUUUGUUAAAGAAUACUGAGAGUUUCAUAAACCAAGGCAAGAGCAGCAGGGAAACAACACAGAUCAGAGGAAAAGCGGAUUAAAUAUUAAUAAAUGUUUCAUCAGUUCCACACAAGGUUUUAAGUUUGAGGCGUGAAGGCCAGGGUAGAAAUUUGAUCUAUGUACCGGAAACCUGGAAAAGUGUGGGAGUACAACUUGGCAUAUAUACACAGAAGAUUAAUUCAUUUUACUUGAAUUUAUUUAUUUAUUUUUACAAAUAUGUUUGGUUGUGUCACCAUAAUGCUCUGUUGCUAAUGAGAGCCAGGUGGAGGCAGAUGUACAGGAUGUACUGAGUAAGAAACAAUAAAAAAAAAAAAACACUUGAUUUUACUUUCAUGGUGCAUUGUUUAGUCUAUGAAAUGUGAGAUAAUAAAAUGUUCUGUUCCAUGUUCCCAAAGUUAAGCGUGAUGUCUUGUCCAACUAACAAAGAUAUUCAAGAACAAAUCAUUGAAUUGGAGAAGCAUGAAACCUAGAAUGUUUUGCCGUUUUUGCUCAGUGUCUGUUACAAAACCGUUAGUGAUUGUGUUUCUGCUGAUCAACAUACUAUGGACUAAUCAUUGUACCUCUGCUUGAUCUAUUAUUCAGUGUCUUAUUAACAAAUCCCAUGACAAGACCAAACAACAAUGGAUUUAUCCUACUAAUUCGAGUUGUCUGUGGAUCCAGAGCCUGAUAUACCUUCAUAAAUAGACCAUAAAUAGACCUGCAGACAAUCUGUCCAUAAAUAAAUGUCAUAAAAAUACAUCAGUCAGCUACUGUGGGACCCACGUACGCUGUCCUACAGCAGCUGCUGUUAAUAAUCACUAUCUGAAAACUCUUAAUUCACAGUUGCAAUAAUCCCCAACAAAUACCCAGCAAGUUGUAUGUCUUUACUUGGGAUGAAUGUUCUUUGGGGUGGAGUGCCAAAGACAGGGGAUGGAAUGUUGGAAAGUAUCAAGAUGGAGUUCUGCAUUGUUGGUUUUGUGAAAAAUAGAAUAACACCAAUGAAGUUAUACUCACUGGUUCUCGCUGACUGUGUUGUCCAAACGGCUGAAGAGAUCAUGGAAGAGAAUGCAGCUGGACUUGCUGUUAAUAUCAUAACCGUAGCCUCUUUUCCAGUACUGCUUUAGAUCAUUUGCAUAUUCCAUGACCUGUUGAACCAGAGAGCACAAAUCACUACUGGAAUGUGUUUUAUGACUAUGAAAGGUAACAAUCUGCCAGUCUUUCAUUGGAUGAGGAAACAUUUGAGACUACCUGUGCCACGUCAGCCCAGGACACAAGACAUGUAAGACUCUUUGUGACAAGGAUAAUGCUAACAGUUUCUCAAAGCAGAGAGAAAAAAAAACUACAGGAUCUUUCUCUAACUUGACCUACAAAAGUUUCUUCUGUUUAUUUACUGUAUUUCUUCAUCUUUAUUUGAUCAAAAUUACAUACUAAGACAUAAUGUAACCUCUGUCCUGGUUAGGUUUUUAAAAAGCAAACCAAUAGAUGAAACAUUACCAGACUCAA
Amphiprion ocellaris (clown anemonefish) is the source of this 3080-nucleotide long non-coding RNA. RefSeq lists it as uncharacterized. The record is from RefSeq and is a predicted model, not a curated record. The transcript has 3 exons. Lineage: Eukaryota; Metazoa; Chordata; Actinopteri; Pomacentridae.